Long non-coding RNA from Oncorhynchus masou masou (cherry salmon), 1135 nucleotides. RefSeq lists it as uncharacterized. The transcript has 6 exons. NCBI's taxonomy places the organism in Eukaryota, Metazoa, Chordata, Actinopteri, Salmoniformes, Salmonidae. The record is from RefSeq and is a predicted model, not a curated record.
UUAUUAUGUCUUGUGGUUUCCAAUGUCUAAUGUCUCAUAGCAGCUUCAUUUUUACAGAUAUCUGCUGUAACUGUCUCCAACAGGUGAUGAGGCCUCACCCAAUGUCAGACCCUCUGUCAGACCACAACCAAGUGGUCCAUUUUUACCUGUUGAUAGGUGUGGAGAGAAGCCAACAGUUGAUAAUGGGGAUUUUAUCAGUGACUCUGACAGAAAUCCAAUGGCACUGACCUUCACAUGCAUUAACUAUUAUAAACUUGUGGGCCCAGAGCAAGUGAUGUGUUAUAAUGAUCAAACGUGGUCAGAGCUCCCCAUUUGUAAAGCUCCCUGUACCUUGGACAAAGGGACUUUUGACGUGCUGGAUCUUCCAAAAGAUAUGUUUGUGAAGGAAGGAGAGAGUCAGACAUUUCGCUGUAAAGAAACUGAUUCUUGGGAACGACCUUUUGUUGCUGAUGUUCUAUGUCAGAAUGGACGAGUGGCAAUUGGCAGAUGUGCAUUGGGCUGCAAACUGGACAAACAGAAUUACCAUUGGCUGGAUCUUACACAGGAUAUGUUUGUAAAGGAAGGACGUCAGACAUGGAACUGUAAACAGAUGGAUCACACUGGUCGUCGUCCUGUUGCAAAUGUUCAAUGUCAUGAUGGACAUUUAUCCGUAGGCGGUUGUUACAUGCAAAACCAAUAUUUGGCCUGGUGAAUCAAUGCAACAAACCCAAAACUGCAGCAAAUCCCCUGGAAGAGAAGACUUACCACGUUGGCCACCAAUCAAGAUCAUGAUGUGUUUGAUAAAGUUGCUUUUACAUUUGGUUCAUGAUAUGGAAUCUGUCUCAUAACACAGGGGGUUAGUAGGGGAGCAGAGAGGAAAGGAGGCCCACCAUCUUAGGAUAGGAGGCUGUCUGACAAGAUUCAGACAGUCAUUCUGAAUGAUUCAAAAGAAAUGAAAAAUACAUGUGGAACAUAAUAAUGGGAAGGUUGAUGAAACAGUUGAUCAGCAAAACAUUUGAUAUUGAUCCUCUAUUCAUUUAAAGCAGCAAACUACUGGUAGUCAAUGGGAGUCAAAUCAAUAGAAUGUACAGUAUACAAUGGACAUGGAUGCAUGUAGAAAAUGUCAUGGCUUGGAUCUAUAAAAGAGAUAUAAUUA